GGCUCAGGACGAACGCUGGCGGCGUGCUUAACACAUGCAAGUCGAACGAUGAACCACUUCGGUGGGGAUUAGUGGCGAACGGGUGAGUAACACGUGGGCAAUCUGCCCUUCACUCUGGGACAAGCCCUGGAAACGGGGUCUAAUACCGGAUAUCACUCCUGCAGGCAUCUGCGGGGGUCGAAAGCUCCGGCGGUGAAGGAUGAGCCCGCGGCCUAUCAGCUUGUUGGUGAGGUAAUGGCUCACCAAGGCGACGACGGGUAGCCGGCCUGAGAGGGCGACCGGCCACACUGGGACUGAGACACGGCCCAGACUCCUACGGGAGGCAGCAGUGGGGAAUAUUGCACAAUGGGCGAAAGCCUGAUGCAGCGACGCCGCGUGAGGGAUGACGGCCUUCGGGUUGUAAACCUCUUUCAGCAGGGAAGAAGCGAAAGUGACGGUACCUGCAGAAGAAGCGCCGGCUAACUACGUGCCAGCAGCCGCGGUAAUACGUAGGGCGCAAGCGUUGUCCGGAAUUAUUGGGCGUAAAGAGCUCGUAGGCGGCUUGUCACGUCGGGUGUGAAAGCCCGGGGCUUAACCCCGGGUCUGCAUUCGAUACGGGCAGGCUAGAGUGUGGUAGGGGAGAUCGGAAUUCCUGGUGUAGCGGUGAAAUGCGCAGAUAUCAGGAGGAACACCGGUGGCGAAGGCGGAUCUCUGGGCCAUUACUGACGCUGAGGAGCGAAA
This 720-nucleotide ribosomal RNA is filed under the name Streptomyces galbus. RNAcentral's name for it is "bacterial SSU rRNA". It matches the Rfam family "Bacterial small subunit ribosomal RNA", at positions 21 to 758 of the family's 1533-position model. The record is from RNAcentral. Lineage: Bacteria; Bacillati; Actinomycetota; Actinomycetes; Kitasatosporales; Streptomycetaceae.